Molecule: ribosomal RNA, 253 nt
Filed under: uncultured bacterium
Lineage: Bacteria
Description: partial 16S ribosomal RNA
Rfam family: Bacterial small subunit ribosomal RNA
Source: RNAcentral
UACAGAGGUCUCGAGCGUUAGGCGGAAUCACUGGGCUUAAAGCGUGUGUAGGUGGAUGCCUAAGUACCUUGUGAAAUCCCACAGCUUAACUGUGGAACUGCUUGGUAUACUGGGUGUCUUGAGUCACUCAGGGGCGAGCGGAACAAAUGGUGGAGCGGUGAAGUGCGUAGAUAUCAUUUGGAACGCCAAUGGUGAAAACAGGUAACUGGGGCUGUGCUGACGCUGAGACACGAAAGCCAGGGGAGCGAACGGG